UACGUAGGGGGCUAGCGUUGUUCGGAAUUAUUGGGCGUAAAGAGCUCGUAGGCGGUCUGUCGCGUCGGCUGUGAAAACCCGGGGCUCAACUCUGGGCCUGCAGUCGAUACGGGCAGACUAGAGUUCGGUAGGGGAGACUGGAAUUCCUGGUGUAGCGGUGAAAUGCGUAGAUAUCGGCAGGAACACCCGAGGCGAAGCCGGCUGGCUGGGCAGUUGCUGACGCUGAUGUGCGAAAGCGUGGGGAGCGAACUGG
This 253-nucleotide ribosomal RNA is filed under the name uncultured bacterium. RNAcentral describes it as "partial 16S ribosomal RNA". It matches the Rfam family "Bacterial small subunit ribosomal RNA", at positions 524 to 776 of the family's 1533-position model. The record is from RNAcentral.